GCUUCGGUAGUCUAAUUGGCUAAGACACUUGCGCGUUAAGCAGGCGAUCCGGAUUCGACUCCCGGCCGAGGUA
RNAcentral lists this transfer RNA (73 nucleotides) under Cyphomyrmex costatus. It matches the Rfam family "tRNA". Rfam says of the family: Transfer RNA (tRNA) molecules are approximately 80 nucleotides in length. The record is from Rfam by way of RNAcentral. Lineage: Eukaryota; Metazoa; Arthropoda; Insecta; Hymenoptera; Formicidae.